GACGAACGCUGGCGGCGCGCCUAACACAUGCAAGUCGAACGGAGUCAAGAGGAGCUUGCUUUUCUUGACUUAGUGGCGAACGGGUGAGUAACGCGUGAGUAACCUGCCCUGGAGUGGGGGACAACAGUUGGAAACGACUGCUAAUACCGCAUAAGCCCACGGAUCCGCAUGGAUCUGCGGGAAAAGGAUUUAUUCGCUUCAGGAUGGACUCGCGUCCAAUUAGCUAGUUGGUGAGGUAACGGCCCACCAAGGCGACGAUUGGUAGCCGGACUGAGAGGUUGAACGGCCACAUUGGGACUGAGACACGGCCCAGACUCCUACGGGAGGCAGCAGUGGGGGAUAGUGCACAAUGGGGGAAACCCUGAUGCAGCGACGCCGCGUGGAGGAAGAAGGUUUUCGGAUUGUAAACUCCUGUCGUGAGGGACGAUAAUGACGGUACCUAACAAGAAAGCACCGGCUAACUACGUG
This 468-nucleotide ribosomal RNA is filed under the name uncultured bacterium. Its description in RNAcentral is "partial 16S ribosomal RNA". It matches the Rfam family "Bacterial small subunit ribosomal RNA", at positions 28 to 507 of the family's 1533-position model. The record is from RNAcentral.